CCGCAUCCCUGAUGCGAGCACUUGCUAGGUUGUGUGUGUUUAAAAACCUCUAGUAUUCUAAUCCUCUGCGUUUGCAUAUAGUAGCGCAAAGGAACCUGCCCCUCUUCCCUCUCUCUUACGCCUGUGUUUUGUGCUACUAGCUAGCAGCUCAGCUCAUCGCGGGACAUGAAGAAGGAUGAAGAAGAUGCCAAUGCCACCAUCCCCUUCAAGUCCCCGCCGUCUCCUCUCCGCCAUGGCUGGCCUCUCCGCAUGCCGCGGACACCGCUCCGGUGACCUCUUCGUCUUCGUCUCCGUCGUCAUCUCGGUUCUUCCGCAGGGCAAAGGCAUGGAGGCAGCCGUGCAAGCUUAGCACAGAAAAAUGGUGGAGAGUUGUGUAUUGGCAUGCGGGAAAGCCAGGCAAUUUUUUUCCCUCCGUUCCGACUUGUUUCCGCUUUCCUCUCCUUGCUAAUUGCUGUCCUUGUUCUUGCUGCUCGCUCUAGGUCGCUUCGACCUUCAGACUAUUUGUAUCUCCUUUUGUUGCGAAUUUUAAGGCCAUUCCAUCCAUCGAUGUUACUAUAUAUCAUCGAGAACGAUAUGGCCAUUCAGAUUCUAUACAAUCAUGUGUAGUUAAGUUCAUCCUUGCAGCGUGCGUGGAGACAAAUCAGGUGUCCAGUGCUAGCAUGCAUGUUGCAGAUACCAUCCUUGCAUUUGCAUUUGCGAUUUAAUCUUGGUGGAUUAAAGACGAGCGAUACGCGAGAGGCGAGACAGUGAAUCAUGCCUCUCGAUCUUGCCUGUUAGUAUAUCUAUUCUAUAUUAUUUGGAGCAGAAUGCCAAUGCAGAUGCUAUUUCGUAUACUGUCGAUUGUACUGUACCUGUUUCUCCAUUUCAUUUCAUCUCGAUUAAUUGCGAGUAAUCAUACAGGAUCUGUAGAGCAGUGAUGAAUAGAUUUGCUUUACAGUGUAAACUGGAGAUGUUCGUCCUUGCAGGAAUCAUUGAGCAACCAUUAUGCACGUAGUAGCUUUUGUCUUUUAGGUGCCUUUUCUUUCUUUAGCGUGUAGGCUUGAGGCUCUUCACUGCUCAUCAGUGGACCAUCAGCCCCUGCAGCUAGCUGCGGUUGCGCUUUGUUCUCUGCUGCAUGCUGGCGACUCAAGUCACUGGACCUGUAUCUGUAUGAUUGAGCAGGAGGCACUAGUUGUUGAGGACUUGAGAAUAGUUUUCUCUUCAGUAGGAGCCAGCCACCCCAAGUAUCAUUCAUUUGUUGUAGCUGAGAUAAACUUGUUUUCGUUUUUGUCAUCUCUUCGAGUUUUUUAAUAUUAAAACUUUGUCUUUUGUCAUUUUCCAUUUAUGCUGUUUUCUGUAUCAGUAUGAAUGUAUGAUGGUGUUAUAAUGAAUGUAUGAUGGUGUUAUAN
This 1388-nucleotide long non-coding RNA is filed under the name Hordeum vulgare. RNAcentral's name for it is "long non-coding RNA (HVUL_LNC018400)". The record is from RNAcentral. Lineage: Eukaryota; Viridiplantae; Streptophyta; Magnoliopsida; Poales; Poaceae.